This 551-nucleotide ribosomal RNA is filed under the name uncultured Glomeromycotina. Its description in RNAcentral is "SSU rRNA". It matches the Rfam family "Eukaryotic small subunit ribosomal RNA", at positions 548 to 1098 of the family's 1831-position model. Lineage: Eukaryota; Fungi; Glomeromycota. The record is from RNAcentral.
UUGGAGGGCAAGUCUGGUGCCAGCAGCCGCGGUAAUUCCAGCUCCAAUAGCGUAUAUUAAAGUUGUUGCAGUUAAAAAGCUCGUAGUUGAACUUCGGGGUCUACCCAUUGGUCAGGCUUAAUUGUCUGCACUGGUGAGAUGGAUCUCUACCUUCUGAGGAACUUUCAUGCCAUUUAUUUGGUGUGGUUGGAAAUCAGGACUGUUACUUUGAAAAAAUUAGAGUGUUUAAAGCAGACUAUCGUCUGAAUACAUUAGCAUGGAAUAAUGAAAUAGGACGGACUGAUUCUAUUUCGUUGGUUUCUAGGAUCACCGUAAUGAUUAAUGGGGAUGGUUGGGGGCAUUAGUAUUCAAUUGUCAGAGGCGAAAUUCUUGGAUUUAUUGAAGACUAACUACUGCGAAAGCAUUUGCCAAGGAUGUUUUCAUUAAUCAAGAACGAAAGUUAGGGGAUCGAAGACGAUCAGAUACCGUCGUAGUCUUAACCAUAAACUAUGCCGACUAGGGAUCGGACGAAGUUAAUUUUAUAAUGACGCGUUCGGCGCCUUACGGGAAAC